GUGAUCAAGCUACUAAGAGCAUGUGGUGGAUGCCUCGGCGUCAGAAGGCGACGAAGGACGUGGAUACCUGCGAUAAGCCCAGGGGAGCUGGAAUCAAGCAUUGAUCCUGGGAUGUCCGAAUGGGGAAACCCGUUCUGUACGGGCAACCGUGCAGUUCAUUCAUGACUGAAUGCAUAGGUCAUGGAAGCGAACGUGGGGAACUGAAACAUCUAAGUACCCACAGGAAUAGAAAGAAACCUCGAUUCCGUAAGUAGCGGCGAGCGAAACCGGAAUAGCCCAAACCAUCCUUCGGGAUGGGGUUGUGGACACCGUUAUCUGAGCCUGGCCGACAGCGAAUGACCUGGGAAGGUCAGCCAUAGAAGGUGAUAGCCCUGUAGUUGUCAGCGAAAGCUUGGUAGGUGCACCAGAGUAGCGUGGAGCUCGUGAAACUCCGCGUGAAGCUGGGGGGACCACCCCCCAAGGCUAAAUACUCCCUGACGACCGAUAGUGAACCAGUAAGGUGACUGAAUGGUGAAAAGCACCCCUAUAAGGGGAAUGAAAAGUACCUGAAACCACAUGCUUACAAACUGUCGUAGCCCCUUGAGGGUGACGGCGUGCCUUUUGCAUAAUGAGCCAGCGAGUUAGCCUCUACGGCAAGGUUAAGUCCUUCCGGGACGUAGCCGAAGCGAAAGCGAGUCUGAAUAGGGCGACUAGUCGUAGGGGUUAGACGCGAAACCUUGUGAUCUACCCAUGGCCAGGUUGAAGGGAAGGUAAAACUUCCUGGAGGACCGAACCCGUUAACGUUGAAAAGUUAUGGGAUGAGCUGUGGGGAGGACUUAAAGUGUUAUCAAACUGGGAGAUAUCUCGUUCUCCUCGAAAUAGUUUUUGGGCUAGCCUCGCGUUACAGCAUACGGGGGUAGAGCUACUGGAUGGGGCUGGGGGGCUACCCGCCUACCCACUCCAACCAAACUCCGAAUACCGUAUGCCUUUGUCGCGGGAGUCAGACUACGGGUGAUAACAUCCGUGGUCGAAAGGGAAACAACCCAGACCGCCAGCUAAGGUCCCCAAUCACACCUUAGUUCGUAAGGAAGUCAAGUUGCAAAGACAACCAGGAUGUUGGCUUAGAAGCAGCCACUCAUUUAAACAACGCGUAAUAGCGGACUGGUCAAGGAACUUGGCGCCGAAAAUGAUCGGGAAUAAGGUGUGAACCGAAGCUGCGGACUUGUACUUGUACAAGUGGUAGAGGAGCGUUCCUGUCGGCAACGAAGCGAAACGGCGACGUUUCGUGGAGCGGCAGGAAGUGCUUAUGCUGGCUUGAGUAACGAUAAACCAGGUGAAAAUCCUGGUCGCCGAAAGCCGAAGGUUUCCUGGGGAAGGUAAAUCCGCCCAGGGUUAGUCGGAUCCUAACACGAGGCCGAAAGGCGUAGUGGAUGGACAGCAGGUUAAUAUUCCUGCACUCGGUUGUGCGGUUGAAGCGGCGUGACGGAUCUCUGAAAUCAGUCGACCGACCAGUUGUGGUCGUCCCGCAAGGGCGAGGGCUUAGAUCCCGAAGCUGGUGGAUGAGGUUCCAAGAAAAUCCGUCCGUGGACAAUCAGCCGAUCCGUACCAAAACCGACACAGGUAGGCGUGGCGAAUAGCCUCAGGCGCUCGAGAAAACGGUUGUUAAGGAACUAGGCAAAAUCACCCCGUACGUUCGCAAGAAGGGGUCCCUCCCGGCUUCGGCCGGAGGGCGCAGAGAAGAGGCUCUGGGGACUGUUUAUCAAAAACACAGGACUGUGCGAACUCGCAAGAGGAUGUAUACAGUCUGACGCCUGCCCAAUGCCUGAAUGUUAAGGAAGCAGGUUAGCUUCGGCGAAGCUUGCAACUGAAGCACAGGUCAAUGGCGGCCGUAACUAUGACGGUCCUAAGGUAGCGAAGUUCCUUGUCGGGUAAGUUCCGACGCGCAUGAAUGGCGUAACCACUGGAGCACUGUCUCAACAACCGACUCGGUGAAAUAGAAGUGCCGGUGAAGAUACCGGCUACCCGCGGCAGGACGGAAAGACCCCGUGGACCUUUACUGUAGGCUUGUAUUGGCCACGAUAAUGUACUGCGUAGGAUAGGUGGGAGACGCUGAAGCGCCGGUUCUGGCCGGUGUGGAGUCACCGUUGAAAUACCACCCUGUAUAUUGUUGUGACCUAACUUGGUUCCGUGAAUCCGGGCCAGGGACCGUGCUAGCUGGGCAGUUUGACUGGGGCGGUCUCCUCCUAAAAUGUAACGGAGGAGCGCAAUGGUUGGUUCAAUACGGUUGGAAACCGUAUGACGAGUGUAAGGGCACAAGCCAGCUUUACUGCGAGACAUACCCGUCGAGCAGUCACGAAAGUGGGCCCUAGUGAUCCGGCAGUUCCGAGUGGAAGGGCUGUCGCUCAACGGAUAAAAGGUACCCCGGGGAUAACAGGCUGAUCUCCCCCGAGCGUCCAUAGCGGCGGGGAGGUUUGGCACCUCGAUGUCGGCUCAUCGCAUCCUGGGGCUGUAGGCGGUCCCAAGGGUUCGGCUGUUCGCCGAUUAAAGCGGUACGCGAGCUGGGUUCAGACCGGCGUGAGCCAGGUCGGUCCCUAUCCGCCGUGGGCGUAGCAUUCCUGAGAGAAUUCAACCAUAGUACGAGAGGAUUUGGUUGGACGUACCCCUGGUGCGCCGGUUGGUCUGCUAAGGCCAUCGCCGGGUAGCUAAGUACGGCAGGGAUAACCGCUGAAAGCAUCUAAGCGGGAAGCCCCCCUCAAGAUUAGGAAUGCAUGGACUUUGUCCGAAAGACCCCGGGUAGACCACCCGGUUGAUAGGCCGCAGCUGUAAGGGUCGAAAUACCCUCAGGUGAGCGGUACUAACGGUCGACUGCUUGUUCAC
This 2856-nucleotide ribosomal RNA is filed under the name Planctomycetales bacterium ZRK34. RNAcentral describes it as "Planctomycetales bacterium zrk34 23S ribosomal RNA". It matches the Rfam family "Bacterial large subunit ribosomal RNA". Lineage: Bacteria; Pseudomonadati; Planctomycetota; Planctomycetia; Planctomycetales. The record is from RNAcentral.